Molecule: long non-coding RNA, 245 nt
Organism: Terrapene triunguis (Three-toed box turtle)
Lineage: Eukaryota; Metazoa; Chordata; Testudines; Emydidae
Exons: 3
Source: RefSeq, a predicted model, not a curated record
GCCGGCCCGGAGGACGCGGCUGUGGACGGCAGGAAACCCAAAUUUCAUUUAAAUAUCAAGACACUGACAGAUGAUAUGUUGGAUAGAUUUGCCAGCAUAAGGAUUCCAGGCAGUAGAAAAGAAAGACCUCCUUUAUUGCAGCUGAAACAAUCACAUUCCUCUAUUGAUUGGUCAUCACCUCCUGCAGAUGUGGAUGAGUUCAUCCCCAAACCCUUGUCAGAGCGAGAAAUCCUAGCACUUUUUGA